AUUGAACGCUGGCGGCAUGCUUUACACAUGCAAGUCGAACGGUAACAGGUUAAGCUGACGAGUGGCGAACGGGUGAGUAAUGCAUCGGAACGUGCCCGAUCGUGGGGGAUAACGCAGCGAAAGCUGCGCUAAUACCGCAUACGAUCUGAGGAUGAAAGCGGGGGACCGUAAGGCCUCGCGCGAUCGGAGCGGCCGAUGUCAGAUUAGGUAGUUGGUGGGUAAAGGCUCACCAAGCAAACGAUCUGUAGCUGGUCUGAGAGGACGACCAGCCACACUGGGACUGAGACACGGCCCAGACUCCUACGGGAGGCAGCAGUGGGGAAUUUUGGACAAUGGGCGAAAGCCUGAUCCAGCAAUGCCGCGUGCAGGAAGAAGGCCUUCGGGUUGUAAACUGCUUUUGUACGGAGCGAAAAGGCUCUCUCUAAUACAGGGGGCUCAUGACGGUACCGUAAGAAUAAGCACCGGCCAACUACGUGCCAGCCGCCGCAGUAA
RNAcentral lists this ribosomal RNA (492 nucleotides) under uncultured bacterium. RNAcentral describes it as "partial 16S ribosomal RNA". It matches the Rfam family "Bacterial small subunit ribosomal RNA", at positions 30 to 523 of the family's 1533-position model. The record is from RNAcentral.